RNAcentral lists this ribosomal RNA (392 nucleotides) under uncultured bacterium. Its description in RNAcentral is "partial 16S ribosomal RNA". It matches the Rfam family "Bacterial small subunit ribosomal RNA", at positions 523 to 918 of the family's 1533-position model. The record is from RNAcentral.
AUACGGAGGAUCCGAGCGUUAUCCGGAUUUAUUGGGUUUAAAGGGUGCGCAGGCGGCCAUUUAAGUCAGCGGUUAAAUCGUGGGGCUCAACCCCAUUCUGCCGUUGAUCUUGGGUGGCUUGAUUGCGGUCGAGGCUGGCGGGAUUCGUUGUGUAGAGGUGAAAUGCAUAGAUAUGACGAAGAACACCGAUUGCGUAGGCAGCUGACCAGACCGCAAAUGACGCUCAUGCACGAAAGUGCGGGGAUCGAACAGGAUUAGAUUCCCUGGUAGUCCGCACAGUAAACGAUGAAUACUUGUUUUCGGCGAUAUAAUGUCGGAGGCAAAGCGAAAGCGAUAAGUAUUCCACCUGGGGAGUACGCCGGCAACGGUGAAACUCAAAGGAAUUGGCGGGG